This 253-nucleotide ribosomal RNA is filed under the name uncultured bacterium. RNAcentral describes it as "partial 16S ribosomal RNA". It matches the Rfam family "Bacterial small subunit ribosomal RNA", at positions 524 to 776 of the family's 1533-position model. The record is from RNAcentral.
UACGGAGGGGACUAGCGUUGUUCGGAAUUACUGGGCGUAAAGCGCGUGUAGGCGGUUGUUCAAGUCAGGUGUGAAAGCCUUGAGCUCAACUCAAGAAAUGCACUUGAUACUGGAUGACUAGAGGACCGGAGGGGAUAGUGAAAUUCCCAGUGUAGUGGUGAAAUACGUAGAGAUUGGGAAGAACACCAGUGGCGAAGGCGGCUAUCUGGACGGUUUCUGACGCUAAGACGCGAAAGCGUGGGGAGCAAACAGG